GAUGAAGAACGUAGCGAAAUGGGAUAAGUAAUGUGAAUUGCAGAAUUCAGUGAAUCAUCGAAUCUUUGAACGCAUCUUGCGCUCCUUGGUAUUCUGAGGAGCAUGCCUGUUUGAGUGUCAUUAAAUUCUCAACUACACUGACUUUGAAUUGGUGUGGCUUGGAUUUGGGGGGAAAAUUGUUGUGGGCUUUUUGUAUAGUCUGCUCCCCUGAAAUUGAUUAGCGGUACCUUUGUGGAACUGUCUACAGGUGUGAUAAUUAUCUACAUCUUAGACAUCUGCUGGAAUGCUGCUUUCUAAACCUUACUUGUAUUGACAAUCUUGACCUCAAAUCAGGUAGGACUACCCGCUGAACUUAAGCAUAUCAAUAAGCGGAGGA
RNAcentral lists this unclassified non-coding RNA (376 nucleotides) under soil metagenome. RNAcentral describes it as "partial contains 5.8S ribosomal RNA, internal transcribed spacer 2, and large subunit ribosomal RNA". The stretch from base 1 to 120 matches the Rfam family "5.8S ribosomal RNA", at positions 35 to 154 of the family's 154-position model. The record is from RNAcentral.